UUAAAACAAACAUCACAGUAGAAUGGUAUGCUUAAUUAAUAGGUAUGUACGGUAAGAACAUGCAUGAAAUAUGAAUAUCACAAUGUAUGUACGUAUGAAUUAUGAUUCUUUAACGCUUCAUGAAGCUCGCAGGCUAACCUUCUCGACUACGAUGAGCGAUCUUUCGAACGGAGACUUUGAGAAGUCGAAAGAAACUACGGAAGAUCCGACGUUUUACGUCGC
Molecule: long non-coding RNA, 222 nt
Filed under: Gossypium barbadense (sea-island cotton)
Lineage: Eukaryota; Viridiplantae; Streptophyta; Magnoliopsida; Malvales; Malvaceae
Description: long non-coding RNA (GBAR_LNC001232)
Source: RNAcentral